This 2872-nucleotide long non-coding RNA is filed under the name Homo sapiens (human). Its description in RNAcentral is "HSALNT0041932". The record is from RNAcentral. Lineage: Eukaryota; Metazoa; Chordata; Mammalia; Primates; Hominidae.
UUGCAGAAUACAAUAGAUAUAAAGUGUGAGGCUGGUCCACAAAAAAAUAAUAACAAUAUCUUAUAUAACCUUACAAAUCUGCAUUUUCUUUUUAACACUGCUAUUCUGUGGCAUACCAUAAAGUCUGUCUAGAAUACAGACUUGGGUACCGAGCGAGGGUUUGUAUUUUUACUUUGUAUUCUUACUUUGACAUUUGUAUUCUUACUUUGACACUGUGAUGGUUAAUAUUGUCACCUUGAUGGGAUUAAAGGAUCUCUAGAUAGCUGGUAAAGUAUUGCUUCUGGGUGUGUCUGUCAGAGUGUUGCCAGAGGAAACUGACAUUUGAGUCAGUGGACUGGGAGAAGAAGACCAACCUUCAGUGUGGGUGGGCACCAUCCAGUUGGCUGCCAGUGUGGCUAGAACAAAGCAGGAGGAAGAAGGUGGGCUAAGCUGGCUUUCUCAGUCUUCUGGCUUCCAUCUUUUUCCUGUGCCGGAUGCUUCCUCCCAUCCCUCCUGCCCUUGGACAUCAGACUCCAGGUUAUUCAGCCUUUGGACACUGGGACUUGCACCAGUGGCUUGCCAGGAGCUCCCGGGCCUUUGGAUACAAACUGAAGGCUGCACUGUCAGGAUUCCCUGGUUUAAGACUUUCAGACUUGGACUGAGCCAGUUUCUCUCUUCCCCAGCUUGCAGACAGCCUAUCAUGGGACUUCACCUUGUAAUCAUACUGGGAACAAGAAGACCUGCAGGGUCAACUGACAUGAGGAACUACUUCCCCCUUGAAAAUGCAAGAAGAACCAGUCUCGGCAUAAGGUAGACACCUAAUAUAGCAGAGGAGAAGGUCAGAAAUAACAGAAGGUUUGCAUGAAAUUAUUGAAUCAAAGCUCACCAAACAUCUUGGUCAUUAGUUUUAUGAGACAGUAAACCACGAUACUAUCAUCAGUGUUUUUUGUUUCUGAUAUGGUUUGGCUGUGUGUCCCCACUCAAUGCCAGCCCGUGAAAGCAGCUGGGAGGGAGGCUAUACCCUGCAAAGCCACAGGGGCGGAGCUGCCCAAGACCAUGGGAAACCACCUCUUGCAUCAGCAUGACCUGGAUAUGAGACAUGGAGUCAAAGGAGAUCAUUUUGGAGCUUAAGAUUUGACUGCCCUGCUGGAUUUCAGACAUGCAUGGGGCCUGUAGCCCCUUUGUUUCAGCCAAUUCCUCCCAUUUGGAAUGGCUGUAUUCACCCAAUGCCUGUAUUCACUCAAUGCCUGUAUCCCCAUUGUAUCUAGGAAGUAACUAACUCGCUUUUGAUUUUACAGCUCAUAGGCAGAAGGUAUUUGCCUUGUCUCAGAUGAGACUUUGGACUGCGGACUUUUGAGUUAAUGCUGAAAUGAGUUAAGACUUUAGGGGACUGUUGGGAAGGCAUGACUGUUUUCGAAAUGUGAGGACAUGAGAUUUGGGAGGGGUCAGGGUGGAAUGCUAUGGUUUGGCUCUGUGUCCCCACCCAGAUCUCGAAUUGUACUCCCAUAAUUCCCACGUGUUGUGGGAGGGACCCAGUGGGAGAUAAUUGAAUCAUGGUGGUGGUUUCCCCUAUACUGUUCUCAUGGUAGAUGAAUCAGUCUCUUGAGAUCUGAUGGUUAGAUAAGGGAAAAUCCAUUUUGCUUGGCUCUCAUUCUCUUUCUUUGCCUGCUGCCAUCCAUGUAAGAUGUGACUUGCUCCUCCUUGCCUUCCACCAUGAUUGUGAUGUCUCCCCAGCCAUGUGGAACUGUAAACCGUCAGUGUGUUUCCAUAGACCAGGUUUUGACUCCCAGUAUCAGGAAUUCUACCUCAUAUAAUUGUGCAGUUGAGCUGUUGCACUCCACGUAAGACUUCAGCCAAGAAGACAACAGGGUAGCUGGAAGGCCAGACUUCUCUCAGCCAUCCUGGAGUCAACUUAAGAUGCAGACACCUUUUUCUAAUUGGCAUUGUCAGUGGGGGGCACUUUUUUCAAAUCUGUCCCCUUGGGGAAAGCUAUUUCUCUCAUAUGCAUCAAAGCACUGUAUAUGCCUGUUGGCCCUACCUAUAUGUAUCUCAGGAUUAAAUAAAUAAAUAAAUAAAUAAAAGCUAUUGCCUUGUUUUUCCAGGAAUAGUUCUGUAGUUUUUGCAGAACAAGAAGUCUGCAUUCAAAGUAACAUGCAGUUUCACUGUUAUUGCCCUGUCCAAGCUUGUGGUGUAAUUUCUUCUUCAUUCACUCAGUCUCACAAAAGGGAUAAUGAAAUCAACUUUCAUCCAACUUCAGGCAAUCAUAAAACUCUGAGAUUUACAGCUACCACUGCAAAGUCAGUGAGUAUUGUAAGAGCCUUGAAUUAGAACAAGUAGUAAAGAAUCCAUGUAAGAAUAGGAAGCUCUGAGGUUGUAUAUACUAAGACCUUAGUGUUACCUAGACUCACCUCACAGCUUGUGGAAAAAGCUGAUUCCUGGUCCUACCAUAGAUACUCUGACUUGGAUCUGAGGAGGGCCAGCUUCAUCUUGAGAAUUCUAUGUAGGGUAGGGCUUAGGGGAGGCCAUCUGGUUGGAAGACGAAGCUGGGAGGUUUGCCAUGAGGCUAUGUUUGUAAAGAAAGCACACUCUUUUUAACUUAGUGUGUAUGUUACAGAUCAAUAUCAAUAUAAAAGUUUCCUAAACUUUUACUCACACUUUAUAUAAAAGUGAUUACAUUGGCCAUAUUAAAAGUAAGAUUUUUAUUUGGGAAUGAAGGGAGCUGAUGGAGACUGGGUUGGCUACUGCCCUUGGCACCACCACUGAGUUUAACCCAGAUGUCUGCCUUUUUAACCAUCACCAUAGAAAAGCCUAGUUUAUUUAUUCAUCCACUCAACAAAAUGUUUAUUGAGAUACCAGUAUGUGCUGGACAUUGUUAGAGAUAUGUUCUUGGGAC